UACGUAGGGGGCGAGCGUUGUCCGGAUUUAUUGGGCGUAAAGAGCGUGUAGGCGGCCAGGUAGGUCUGCUGUGAAAACUCGAGGCUCAACCUCGAGACGUCGGCGGAAACCAUCUGGCUAGAGUCCGGAAGAGGAGAGUGGAAUUCCCAGUGUAGAGGUGAAAUUCGUAGAUAUUGGGAAGAACACCGGUGGCGAAGGCGGCUCACUGGCCCGUAACUGACGCUCAUGCACGACAGCGUGGGGAUCAAACAGG
Molecule: ribosomal RNA, 253 nt
Filed under: uncultured bacterium
Lineage: Bacteria
Description: partial 16S ribosomal RNA
Rfam family: Bacterial small subunit ribosomal RNA
Source: RNAcentral